RNAcentral lists this long non-coding RNA (541 nucleotides) under Anser brachyrhynchus (Pink-footed goose). RNAcentral's name for it is "lncRNA (ENSABRG00000015717.1)". The record is from RNAcentral. Lineage: Eukaryota; Metazoa; Chordata; Aves; Anseriformes; Anatidae.
AUGAAGCUGUACUACCUUGGGAGGACAGCGUGUCCAUCUACUGCUGGCUCUAAAGAAGCUGCAGCUGCUUUGCCAGCCGUGUACACGCCGGGUUGUGUGACAUGGAGCUACCCUGUGACUGCACCGCCUCCUCGCUGUCCUCGUGACUGCAAUGAGCACCGCAGAAAUGCCCUACUGCAUUUCCAGGUUCACCUUGUAAGUUUUGUCAACUGUUUCUUAAAGAAAGGAAGGAUGAAAAUUAAUUACUUGGAGCAAGAACAACGGGAGAAGCAGAUCCCAGCCUUCUGCUGAGGAGAAGUUCCCCAGCCCUUAGUUUCCUUCAGCAGCUGUUUGCUGGCUGUUUGCAGGAGUGCCCAGCCCCUUCACCAUCUGCCUGUUGUCCUCCAGACAUUUCUAUAACCUCCUGUCAUGGCAUCCCUUCCGAGUGAAUGGGAGUCCCUGUAGAUAGCUUGAGGAGGGAAGGGUGACUCCCCUGUGCAAGGAUGGAGGUGGAACCCCAUCGUCUGACUGUACAUGGAAUAAAGGUAACAGGAUUGCUUCA